RNAcentral lists this transfer RNA (31 nucleotides) under Drosophila mediodiffusa. RNAcentral describes it as "partial tRNA-Met". The record is from RNAcentral. Lineage: Eukaryota; Metazoa; Arthropoda; Insecta; Diptera; Drosophilidae.
ACUUAUAAAGGUUCUAAUCCUUUUCUUUUUA